GGGGUUGGAGCAGAGGAAGCGUAUAGUUACCAGCCCCCCUCAUGGCUGAAUAUUCUGCCCCCGCGGGGGUUGGAGCAGAGGAAGCGUAUAGUUACCGCCCCCCCAGGGCUGAAUAUUCUGCCCCCGCGGGGGUUGGAGCAGAGGAAGCGUAUAGUUACCAGCCCCCCUCAUGGCUGAAUAUUCUGCCCCCGCGGGGCGUAUAGUUACCGCCCCCCCCCCAGGGUUGAAUAUUCUGCCCCCGCGGGGGUUGGAGCAGAGGAAGCGUAUAGUUACCGCCCCCCCCAGGGCUGAAUAUUCUGCCCCCGCGGGGGUUGGAGCAGAGGAAGCGUAUAGUUACCGGCGCGUUUCCUGCCGACCAAAUAGGGGUUUUCUAAUGAAAUGAGUUAUUUAUUGUAUUUUUUUAUCACUAAACUACCCCGGGCUGUGCCUGCCGGGGGCAUCUCGCUACCUCCUGUACAUGAAAGUGCCUCUGGGCUGUGAGUGCGGCCCCCCAAACCCACCAAUAAACUGACUCAAAAUAAA
This is a long non-coding RNA of Spea bombifrons (plains spadefoot toad), 522 nucleotides long. RefSeq lists it as uncharacterized. The record is from RefSeq and is a predicted model, not a curated record. NCBI's taxonomy places the organism in Eukaryota, Metazoa, Chordata, Amphibia, Anura, Pelobatidae. The transcript is spliced from 2 exons.